Molecule: ribosomal RNA, 291 nt
Filed under: Enterococcus faecium
Lineage: Bacteria; Bacillati; Bacillota; Bacilli; Lactobacillales; Enterococcaceae
Description: partial 16S ribosomal RNA
Rfam family: Bacterial small subunit ribosomal RNA
Source: RNAcentral
UUGGGCUACACACGUGCUACAAUGGACAAUACAAAGGGCAGCGAAACCGCGAGGUCAAGCAAAUCCCAUAAAGUUGUUCUCAGUUCGGAUUGUAGUCUGCAACUCGACUACAUGAAGCUGGAAUCGCUAGUAAUCGUAGAUCAGCAUGCUACGGUGAAUACGUUCCCGGGUCUUGUACACACCGCCCGUCACACCACGAGAGUUUGUAACACCCGAAGCCGGUGGAGUAACCUUUUAGGAGCUAGCCGUCGAAGGUGGGACAAAUGAUUGGGGUGAAGUCGUAACAAGGUA